Molecule: long non-coding RNA, 390 nt
Filed under: Ursus maritimus (polar bear)
Lineage: Eukaryota; Metazoa; Chordata; Mammalia; Carnivora; Ursidae
Description: lncRNA (ENSUMAG00000002544.1)
Source: RNAcentral
GCCAGCUCCGCCGAGGAGGCAGCUGAGCCGGGAACUCCAGCCACUUGGGGGUACAGUAGAGGCCUGAACCCCGGGACCCUCAUUUGCCCACGCGAAAACACCCACCCUGGGGCCCGGGUUCCCGGAUGCGGAGAGUGGCGUGACUGAACUGCAGCUGCAGAAGCAAGGAGUGGACCUUUCCAGAUGCAUACGGGGCUGCGAGAAACGAAGGGAGAAACUGGAGAGACCAAUGAAGGGAGGAAGCAGCAUAUUUCCUGGGUUUAAUAGGAAAAACUUGCUUUCUGCAAACAACUGAAAAAACUGUCCUUGGAAACUGUUUCUUUGGCCCACAUGGAGCAGCUGGAACUUACACUGUGAGGCCCUUGAUGGGACAAGCUCUCACCCCCUGAU